This is a long non-coding RNA of Leptinotarsa decemlineata (Colorado potato beetle), 700 nucleotides long. The record is from RefSeq and is a predicted model, not a curated record. NCBI's taxonomy places the organism in Eukaryota, Metazoa, Arthropoda, Insecta, Coleoptera, Chrysomelidae.
AUGUCUCUGAAAUUUCGUUAAACAGCAGUAGUUUCAAAAAUGUUCAUAAGAGUUCUAGUUUGAAUAUUGCCCUUUCUCACUUUUCAAUGAAUUCGAUUGUGAAUCACUUUGUGUAUUAACGAGUAUACGAUCAAGGAAAUUGUAAUUUUGUUAAGAUUUCAUCUGAAGAAAAAACUAAAACUCAAAUUUCAAUGCAACGAGAUAGAUUUGAUGUCGAAUUCACAGACGGAUUUAUCACAAAGGAUUCUUCUAUUCACUGGAAGAAUCAGAAUGUUGUUUUUGUAUAGUAAAGUGCGUCAAUAUUAAACGUGAAAAUGAAAAUGUUUGCUGGUUUCUGAGGAUUUUUUUUGAAAAUUCUACUUGUUAUGCGUUAUGUUAAAACUUUGAAAUCACGUAAUAUAUUGAAAAUUGGAUAUUUUGUUACAUUAUUUUAUAUCAACUGAAACGUUUCCGUUACUAUUAUGAAUAUACAGAUAAAUAAAUGUAAUAGAACUUCACAAAAUCUUUUGAUAAUUCUAAUGAGUAUUGAAGAAAGAAAAUCUAGUGUAAAAUACAUGAAAUGUAGUUAUAAACCAAUUAUUACAUGUGCCAUAUUUACUGUACUUGCAUUGAGUGUGAUCGUACUUUAGAGUCAUAAAAUAUAAUAUGUAAAAUUGUGUAUAUAUAAUAGUUAUAAAGACAUAUAAGAAAAUAAGAAAAA